This 357-nucleotide unclassified non-coding RNA is filed under the name uncultured Pseudotomentella. RNAcentral describes it as "sequence contains ITS2". The stretch from base 1 to 52 matches the Rfam family "5.8S ribosomal RNA", at positions 103 to 154 of the family's 154-position model. Lineage: Eukaryota; Fungi; Basidiomycota; Agaricomycetes; Thelephorales; Thelephoraceae. The record is from RNAcentral.
AACGCACCUUGCGCUCCUUGGUACUCCGAGGAGCAUGCCUGUUUGAGUGUCAUGAAAUUCUCAACUGCCUUUUUAGCAUUUAUGUUAAUGGUGAAGUUGGAGUUGGAGGAUAAUUGCUGGCGCAACUUAGGUUGCUUGUUGGCUCCUCUUGAAUAGAUGAGCUUUUCUGAUGGAUUAUGGCUCAGUAACAUUAAUGUGAUAAUUAUCUACGUUAGAUGUGAAAGCUGUGAGUAGAGUGACUCUAAUUAUGGAGAAGCUCCUACAGAAAAGGAUGUGUCUUGGGGAUAAUAAACUCUUGACUUGAAAUAUAAUGACAAAUCUGACCUCAAAUCAGGUAGGACUACCCGCUGAACUUAA